AAGUGCAAGAGGUGGAUGCCUUGGCAUUCUGAUGAGAUGAUGGAAGUGAUAAUCUGCGUUAAGCUUCGGUUAGCUGGUAUAUGAGCUAUGACCCGGAGAUUUCCGAAUGGGGGAACCCACCUGACACAAGUUGGGUACUCAAUCGAUAUAGAGUGUAGAGCGAACGAGGGGAACUGAAACAUCUAAGUACCCUUAGGAAGAGAAAGCAAUUGAGAUUCCCGUAGUAGUGGCGAGCGAAGUGGG
RNAcentral lists this ribosomal RNA (243 nucleotides) under Francisella tularensis subsp. holarctica. RNAcentral's name for it is "partial 23S ribosomal RNA". It matches the Rfam family "Bacterial large subunit ribosomal RNA", at positions 13 to 262 of the family's 2925-position model. Lineage: Bacteria; Pseudomonadati; Pseudomonadota; Gammaproteobacteria; Thiotrichales; Francisellaceae. The record is from RNAcentral.